GCUGCUCAGUGAUGAGGCAUGGAACAAACCCUGAGCGGUAUCUGACACCCAUGGGGAGCGGGCUCUGCGGGGCAUCGCUUCUGGGAGCAGC
This is a non-coding RNA of Egretta garzetta (little egret), 91 nucleotides long. Lineage: Eukaryota; Metazoa; Chordata; Aves; Pelecaniformes; Ardeidae. The record is from Rfam.